GGAUCCCAGGUGCUGGAGCUGUUGCUGGGCAGAUGGGAAGCCAGUUUGGUUCCAACUUUUCCAUGAUGUGACUUGGAGAGCCAGAUCUGCUCACUUGUCUGUUAUCUGCAGUAUUUUCAAUGAUUCUAAUAUUUCUCUGCAAGAAAGGAAGGCAAUGUGAAUUUCUGCAGCAGAUAAGAUUGAAGGGAAGAAGUAAGUGAGAAGAGUGGAAGAACAGAGUUUCUACUGAUUAUAUAUGGAAGACCUGCCAAAGGCUCCACAGGACUCAUCGGCAGCCUCUUCACCAGCAGGGGAAUCUCGCCUUUUCACUGGGAUCAUGCAGAGUGCUCUCCAGACAUAGCGCGACUGGCUGCUCUCCACCACCACAGCACUGACCACGUCCUAUCUUCGAGGGAUAUAUCCUUCUGGAAGUUUCAGAGAUCCAAGGAACAGGCUGACCACAGGUGGGAAACACACCUGCAAGCUAUUCAUCACAGCUGAGAGAAAGAAUGGAACAAUAAAAGACCCUGGAGUCCAUCACGCCUGAAGGAAACCCCCACCUUACUCUCCAUUUUCCCUGUAUAACUACCUUAAGAUUCUUCAAUUUUUGAAGAUUUUUUUUUGUGACAUUAGUCUGCCAUCUUCCCAAUUACGCUGCCUAAUUGAACUAAAACUUCCCUCCUCAG
Molecule: long non-coding RNA, 665 nt
Filed under: Equus caballus (horse)
Lineage: Eukaryota; Metazoa; Chordata; Mammalia; Perissodactyla; Equidae
Description: lncRNA (ENSECAG00000058425.1)
Source: RNAcentral